AUUGAACGCUGGCGGCAGGCCUAACACAUGCAAGUCGAGCGGAUGAAGGGAGCUUGCUCCUGGAUUCAGCGGCGGACGGGUGAGUAAUGCCUAGGAAUCUGCCUGGUAGUGGGGGAUAACGCCCGGAAACGGGCGCUAAUACCGCAUACGUCCUGAGGGAGAAAGUGGGGGAUCUUCGGACCUCACGCUAUCAGAUGAGCCUAGGUCGGAUUAGCUAGUUGGUGGGGUAAAGGCCUACCAAGGCGACGAUCCGUAACUGGUCUGAGAGGAUGAUCAGUCACACUGGAACUGGGACACGGUCCAGACUCCUACGGGAGGCAGCAGUGGGGAAUAUUGGACAAUGGGCGAAAGCCUGAUCCAGCCAUGCCGCGUGUGUGAAGAAGGUCUUCGGAUUGUAAAGCACUUUAAGUUGGGAGGAAGGGCAGUAAGUUAAUACCUUGCUGUUUUGACGUUACCAACAGAAUAAGCACCGGCUAACUUCGUG
This 484-nucleotide ribosomal RNA is filed under the name uncultured bacterium. RNAcentral describes it as "partial 16S ribosomal RNA". It matches the Rfam family "Bacterial small subunit ribosomal RNA", at positions 30 to 507 of the family's 1533-position model. The record is from RNAcentral.